UUCAGUGGGGUGUUAUUUGGCCCGCAAGAACACUGGAUGUCAAGAGACAGGGAAAACUCCGCGACAGGAGGUGACUACAUGGCCCUGUGGCAGAAGGACGGGGGACAGGACCCGCCGCCGAGCGAUUUAAACACACAGGGAAGCGACCGCCUGACUCUCACGGAGACGCCUGAAUUUGGUCGGGGUAGAGGGAGCGGUGCGAGGAUUUCAAGGUCUGUGUGGCCCCUCAGAUC
RNAcentral lists this long non-coding RNA (233 nucleotides) under Homo sapiens (human). Its description in RNAcentral is "HSALNT0261879". The record is from RNAcentral. Lineage: Eukaryota; Metazoa; Chordata; Mammalia; Primates; Hominidae.